RNAcentral lists this ribosomal RNA (451 nucleotides) under uncultured bacterium. RNAcentral's name for it is "SSU rRNA". It matches the Rfam family "Bacterial small subunit ribosomal RNA", at positions 26 to 518 of the family's 1533-position model. The record is from RNAcentral.
AGAACGAACGCUGGCGGCAUGUCUAACACAUGCAAGUCGAACGCUCGGGGUUUCGGCCCCGGGAGUGGCGCACGGGUGAGUAACGCGUGGGAACCUGCCCAGGAGUGGGGGAUAACCGAGGGAAACUUCGGCUAAUACCGCAUACGACCUGAGGGUGAAAGAUUUAUCGCUCUUGGAGGGGCCCGCGUCGGAUUAGGUAGUUGGUGGGGUAACGGCCUACCAAGCCUGUGAUCCGUAGCUGGUCUGAGAGGAUGAUCAGCCACACUGGGACUGAGACACGGCCCAGACUCCUACGGGAGGCAGCAGUGGGGAAUAUUGGACAAUGGGCGCAAGCCUGAUCCAGCAAUGCCGCGUGGGUGAUGAAGGCCUUAGGGUUGUAAAGCCCUUUCGGCGGGGACGAUGAUGACGGUACCGCAGAAGAAGCCCCGGCUAACUUCGUGCCAGUAGCCGC